UAGGGAAUCUUCCACAAUGGACGCAAGUCUGAUGGAGCAACGCCGCGUGAGUGAAGAAGGUUUUCGGAUCGUAAAGCUCUGUUGUUGGUGAAGAAGGAUAGAGGUAGUAACUGGCCUUUAUUUGACGGUAAUCAACCAGAAAGUCACGGCUAACUACGUGCCAGCAGCCGCGGUAAUACGUAGGUGGCAAGCGUUGUCCGGAUUUAUUGGGCGUAAAGCGAGCGCAGGCGGAAGAAUAAGUCUGAUGUGAAAGCCCUCGGCUUAACCGAGGAACUGCAUCGGAAACUGUUUUUCUUGAGUGCAAAAGAGGAGAGUGGAAUUCCAUGUGUAGCGGUGGAAUGCGUAGAUAUAUGGAAGAACACCAGUGGCGAAGGCGACUCUCUGGUCUGCAACUGACGCUGAGGCUCGAAAGCAUGGGUAGCGAACAGG
Molecule: ribosomal RNA, 429 nt
Filed under: bacterium
Lineage: Bacteria
Description: partial 16S ribosomal RNA
Rfam family: Bacterial small subunit ribosomal RNA
Source: RNAcentral